GAGAGAAGAAUCAGUAGAGCUACAUUUUCUUGGCACUCCAAAAUGUGAAUUUCAAAACUGUUAGUUCAGAAAUGUUCAACUUUUGCUGCCCAUUGGAAUUACCCGGAGAGCUAUAAAAGGACACUGAUGCCUGGGCUGCACCUCCCAGAGGUCCUGAUUUGAUCAAUCCAAAGGAAGGCCUGGGAAGUAAAUUUUUAAAAGUUCCACAGUAUUUCUGAUGGCCUCACGGAUCAGGAGUCUGCAAGACCACCCUCAGGCUUCAUGCACUAAAAGGACUCACAGGACUCAGAAAAAGCUGUCAUACGCAUGUUUACGGUUUCUUAGAGUGAAAGACUACAGAUUAGAGUCAGCAAAAGGAAAAGGUGGAUAGCGCAGAGUCUAGGAGAAACAGGGCACAAGCUUCCAGUUGGCUUCUCACAAAGGUGUUGCAUGAACAGCACUUAAUUAUCUCAGCAACAAUGUGACACACAUGUAAAUUUUUGUAUCCUAUGAAUCUCACCUGAGCCUUGGUGUCCAAGGAUUUUUAUUGGGUUUAGUGGCAAAGGCAUGCAGUGGCUACGGGCCAACAUUAGCUACUCAGUCUCCAGCCCGCAGAGGUCAGUGUGGUUCAACAACUGAUGCAGUGUGGUUCAACAACUUAGACGACAAAAACACUCCUGGCAGGCAGGAGAUUUCAAGAGAGCUCAGAGGUCACCUCCUGGAUGUCAGCCAAGGACCAGUGCUUUUUUUUUGAAUGUGCAGGGUUUGAGUAACCCAAGACUGCUGUGUUAACCUUUACCUGGACACCUAUAUACAUAUAUUUGUCUGUUCUUUGGAUUCUCCAUUGAACUGGGUAUUGCUGUUACUGUUUUUGCCUUCCUAGUUUCUCAUUAAUGGGAUAAAAUAAAUCUUUGACACAUU
This 900-nucleotide long non-coding RNA is filed under the name Pongo abelii (Sumatran orangutan). Its description in RNAcentral is "lincRNA". Lineage: Eukaryota; Metazoa; Chordata; Mammalia; Primates; Hominidae. The record is from RNAcentral.